UGUCUCGCACUUCGAUUAGAGAUAGAUCAUGGCUCAGGACGAUCUCUCGCGGCGUGCUUAACACAUGCAAGUGGUGCGACGAACCAGGGCUUGCCCUGGGGCAAAGCCGCGAACGGGUGAGUAACACGUGAGUAACCUGCCCCGAUGACCGGGACAACCCGAGGAAACUCGGGCUAAUACCGGAUGUGGUGCAUUGGCAUCAGCCUUUGUACUAAAGGAAGCUUCGGCCUCCGCAUUGGGAGGGGCUCGCGGCCCAUUAGCUUGUUGGUGGGGUAACGGCCUACCAAGGCAACGAUGGGUAGCUGGUCUGAGAGGACGAUCAGCCACACUGGGACUGAGACACGGCCCAGACUCCUACGGGAGGCAGCAGUGGGGAAUCUUGCGCAAUGCGCGAAAGCGUGACGCAGCAACGCCGCGUGGGGGAAGACGGCCUUCGGGUUGUAAACCCCUUUCAGGAGGGACGAAGGUUCGCCGGUGAAUAGCCGUGCGGAUUGACGGUACCUCCACAAGAAGCUCCGGCUAACUACGUGCCAGCAGCCGCGGUAAUACGUAGGGAGCAAGCGUUGUCCGGAAUCAUUGGGCGUAAAGCGCGCGUAGUGGCCAUUUAAGUCCGCUGUGAAAGUCAAAGGG
RNAcentral lists this ribosomal RNA (630 nucleotides) under uncultured Actinomycetes bacterium. RNAcentral's name for it is "bacterial SSU rRNA". It matches the Rfam family "Bacterial small subunit ribosomal RNA", at positions 1 to 608 of the family's 1533-position model. Lineage: Bacteria; Bacillati; Actinomycetota; Actinomycetes. The record is from RNAcentral.